RNAcentral lists this ribosomal RNA (305 nucleotides) under uncultured bacterium. RNAcentral describes it as "bacterial SSU rRNA". It matches the Rfam family "Bacterial small subunit ribosomal RNA", at positions 28 to 334 of the family's 1533-position model. The record is from RNAcentral.
GACGAACGCUGGCGGCGUGCUUUAUACAUGCAAGUCGAACGAGAAGCUGACUUCGGUCAGUGGAAAGUGGCGGACGGGUGAGUAAAAUGUAGAGAAUCUGCCCUUGAGCGGGGGAUAACAGUCAGAAAUGACUGCUAAUACCGCAUAAGCGCACAGCAUCGCAUGAUGCAGUGUGAAAAACUCCGGUGGUGUGAGAUGGACCCGCGUUGGAUUAGCUAGUUGGCAGGGCAGCGGCCUACCAAGGCGACGAUCCAUAGCCGGCCUGAGAGGGUGAACGGCCACAUUGGGACUGAGACACGGCCCAG